CCUACGGGAGGCAGCAGUGAGGAAUAUUGGACAAUGGGCGCAAGCCUGAUCCAGCCAUGCCGCGUGCAGGAAGACGGUCCUAUGGAUUGUAAACUGCUUUUGUACGGGAAGAAACACUCCUACGUGUAGGAGCUUGACGGUACCGUAAGAAUAAGGAUCGGCUAACUCCGUGCCAGCAGCCGCGGUAAUACGGAGGAUCCAAGCGUUAUCCGGAAUCAUUGGGUUUAAAGGGUCCGUAGGCGGUUUAGUAAGUCAGUGGUGAAAGCCCAUCGCUCAACGAUGGAACGGCCAUUGAUACUGCUAGACUUGAAUUACUAGGAAGUAACUAGAAUAUGUAGUGUAGCGGUGAAAUGCUUAGAUAUUACAUGGAAUACCAAUUGCGAAGGCAGGUUACUACUAGUGGAUUGACGCUGAUGGACGAAAGCGUGGGGAGCGAACAGGAUUAGAUACCCUGGUAGUCCACGCCGUAAACGAUGGAUACUAGCUGUUCGGGGCAACCUGAGUGGCUAAGCGAAAGUGAUAAGUAUACCACCUGGGGAGUACGUUCGCAGAAUGAAACUCAAAGGAAUUAGACGG
Molecule: ribosomal RNA, 576 nt
Filed under: uncultured bacterium
Lineage: Bacteria
Description: bacterial SSU rRNA
Rfam family: Bacterial small subunit ribosomal RNA
Source: RNAcentral